Molecule: ribosomal RNA, 542 nt
Filed under: uncultured eukaryote
Lineage: Eukaryota
Description: eukaryotic LSU rRNA
Rfam family: 5.8S ribosomal RNA (bases 160-312)
Source: RNAcentral
ACUAGUGAUUUCCGUAGGUGAACCUGCGGAAGGAUCAUUCGCACAAAGAAUAUCUUUUACACCCGCCACGCACCACACAGUGCUUUCUGUUUUUAAUCAGGAUUUAUAUCCAACUCGUCGAUGUUGCGAUUCCAUUGCAAUGUAUGCGAUGUUAUCUAUCUCUUGCGACGACGAAUGCCUUGGCUCGAGGAUCGUUGAAGGACGCAGCGAACUGUGCUAAACAUCUCGAAUUGCAGAUUUCCGAGAAAGAAAAGGAUUCUGAACGCACUUUGCGAAUUGACCUCGUGUCAGUUCACUUGAUUGGCGGUGACCGCAAUAUGCAGUCGCUCGAACUCCGAAGUUUGAGUGGUGUGCACGUGUUGUUGCAGAUUGUUGCACCGACAUGUUCGUAGAAUUCGACGCGCCUCUCGUUUUCGAGCAGCAUUAUGACUUCGUGUUAUGAUGUUCGAAAGCAGGGACCGUUUCUUGUUUGGUUUUCCAAACGAUUCUUUCGCACGCUCACGACCAGUCAAGGGAUUACCCGCUGAAUUUAAGCAUAUCAA